GAGUUUGAUCGUGGCUCAGAUUGAACGCUGGCGGCAGGCCUAACACAUGCAAGUCGGGCGAUUUUUGGCUUCGGUCAGAAGAGCGGCGAACGGGUGAGUAACACGUAGGAAUCUGCCUGGUAGUGGGGGACAACGUUCCGAAAGGAACGCUAAUACCGCAUACGCCCUACGGGGGAAAGCUGGGGAUCUUCGGACCUAGCGCUAUCAGAUGAGCCUGCGUCGGAUUAGCUAGUUGGCGGGGUAAAGGCCCACCAAGGCGACGAUCCGUAACUGGUCUGAGAGGAUGAUCAGUCACACCGGAACUGAGACACGGUCCGGACUCCUACGGGAGGCAGCAGUGGGGAAUAUUGGACAAUGGGGGCAACCCUGAUCCAGCCAUGCCGCGUGUGUGAAGAAGGCCUU
This 402-nucleotide ribosomal RNA is filed under the name uncultured Gammaproteobacteria bacterium. Its description in RNAcentral is "bacterial SSU rRNA". It matches the Rfam family "Bacterial small subunit ribosomal RNA", at positions 9 to 418 of the family's 1533-position model. The record is from RNAcentral. Lineage: Bacteria; Pseudomonadati; Pseudomonadota; Gammaproteobacteria.